Molecule: non-coding RNA, 527 nt
Organism: Drosophila melanogaster (fruit fly)
Lineage: Eukaryota; Metazoa; Arthropoda; Insecta; Diptera; Drosophilidae
Source: Ensembl
AAAUUCUAUAAACAACUUUCGCGGAACUCGAGCUCUGUGAGGUUUUAUAAUAGAAAAAAUAAGCCCCCUUUUUGCCCCCUUCCAGCGCGAAUCGAUCGAUGACUUUGGUGUUUAUCGAACGCUCGCCUAACCGCCUCGCCGCCUCAUCAGUCGUACCGCUCAACCCAUUCCAGAACCGACCGCCCCCGCCACCAAAUCCGUCGCCCCUUUAUGCGAUCAAUGGCUCAAUCAAGCCUUUUGUCUGCUGUGGAUCGCAGCACUUGUAAUUCAAAUGCGUCAAACGAAAACCCGACUGCAAAUGAUUCAAUUUAAAAUGGACUACAAAAGCGGCGAAAAACUACGUAAGACUCAAGUGCAACGGCUGAUUGCGGCACUGGAAAUACCCUACAAUUUAAGAGGGGAUACGCACUAUGUGCACUAUUUUUAGCUCAAGUAAUUCCUAGCAAAAUACCCAAAUAUGUCAUAAUGCAAUACAAUACAAGAAUAUGAAUGUUCUACUAUAUGAACAUUAUCCAAAAAUAUAUAUU